RNAcentral lists this ribosomal RNA (463 nucleotides) under uncultured bacterium. Its description in RNAcentral is "partial 16S ribosomal RNA". It matches the Rfam family "Bacterial small subunit ribosomal RNA", at positions 28 to 507 of the family's 1533-position model. The record is from RNAcentral.
GACGAACGCUGGCGGCGUGCUUAACACAUGCAAGUCGAACGGAAAGGCCGUUUCGGAGGUACUCGAGGGGCGAACGGGUGAGUAACACGUGGGUGAUCUGCCCUGCACUCUGGGAUAAGCCUGGGAAACUGGGUCUAAUACCGGAUAGGACCGCACUUUAGUGUGUGUGGUGGAAAGUUUUUUCGGUGUAGGAUGAGCCCGCGGCCUAUCAGCUUGUUGGUGGGGUAAUGGCCUACCAAGGCGGCGACGGGUAGCCGGACUGAGAGGUUGGUCGGCCACAUUGGGACUGAGAUACGGCCCAGACUCCUACGGGAGGCAGCAGUGGGGAAGAUUGCACAAUGGGCGCCAGCCUGAUGCAGCGACGCCGCGUGGGGGAUGACGGCCUUCGGGUUGUAAAAUCCUUUCGCCAGGGACGAAGCGUUUUGUGACGGUACCUGGAGAAGAAGCACCGGCUAACUACGUG